RNAcentral lists this ribosomal RNA (481 nucleotides) under uncultured bacterium. RNAcentral's name for it is "bacterial SSU rRNA". It matches the Rfam family "Bacterial small subunit ribosomal RNA", at positions 32 to 507 of the family's 1533-position model. The record is from RNAcentral.
AACGCUGGCGGCGUGCUUAACACAUGCAAGUCGAACGAGAAGAGAUGAGAAGCUUGCUUCUUAUCAAUUCGAGUGGCAAACGGGUGAGUAACGCGUAAGCAACCUGCCCUUCAGAUGGGGACAACAGCUGGAAACGGCUGCUAAUACCGAAUACGUUCUUUUUGUCGCAUGGCAGAGGGAGAAAGGGAGGCUCUUCGGAGCUUUCGCUGAAGGAGGGGCUUGCGUCUGAUUAGCUAGUUGGAGGGGUAACGGGCCCACCAAGGCGACGAUCAGUAGCCGACCUGAGAGGGUGACCGGCCACAUUGGGACUGAGAUACGGCCCAGACUCCUACGGGAGGCAGCAGUGGGGAAUAUUGGGCAAUGGGCGCAAGCCUGACCCAGCAACGCCGCGUGAAGGAAGAAGGCUUUCGGGUUGUAAACUUCUUUUAUGAGGGACGAAGAAGUGACGGUACCUCAUGAAUAAGCCACGGCUAACUACGUG